RNAcentral lists this small RNA (160 nucleotides) under Escherichia coli str. K-12 substr. MG1655. RNAcentral describes it as "small RNA XylZ". The record is from RNAcentral. Lineage: Bacteria; Pseudomonadati; Pseudomonadota; Gammaproteobacteria; Enterobacterales; Enterobacteriaceae.
UUUAGCCAAAUAUGCUCAGGAACAUCAUUUGUCUCCGGUGCAUCAGAGUGGUCGCCAGGAACAACUGGAAAAUCUGGUAAACCAUUAUCUGUUCGACAAAUAACGGCUAACUGUGCAGUCCGUUGGCCCGGUUAUCGGUAGCGAUACCGGGCAUUUUUUU